AAAACGGUCCUUUUCAGGACCACCAAAUGUUCAAGAAAAGCUAUG
This is a non-coding RNA of Lingula anatina, 45 nucleotides long. NCBI's taxonomy places the organism in Eukaryota, Metazoa, Brachiopoda, Lingulata, Lingulida, Lingulidae. The record is from Rfam.